Molecule: long non-coding RNA, 540 nt
Organism: Camponotus floridanus (Florida carpenter ant)
Lineage: Eukaryota; Metazoa; Arthropoda; Insecta; Hymenoptera; Formicidae
Exons: 3
Source: RefSeq, a predicted model, not a curated record
UUUAACUUGACAAUCUACUCAGUAUAGCUUUCUAAGGCAUUCUUACUCAUGCAGACUGUCAAGGAAGACCAUUUAAAAAUUCACGCGUCGUUUCUGGAAUAUUAGUCACUUAUACUUCAUGUCCCGUUAAGUAUCAUUAUAUAUAUUCUAACGCGAACUCCUAUAGAUAGAAUCCUAUGACAUCGGGGCUUGUCUAGUAUUCAACGUGGGUACGUUUGCAGCUGCAAAAAGAGCUAUCUGUCAAACGAGCUGUAACCUUCCCAGAAAUCAACAUGCUUUGCAUACAUACAUCUGACGACAAAUCGUGACAUACUAACCCAAGAGGUGCGUUUUAGAAUAAAUUUAAUAGACAGACACACACGCACACAUGUUAACGGUGCUGGUCCGAUAUGGGACGAUAUGGGACGCAUUUUAAUUCGCUAAACGUGGAGAAGAACUGGCAUGCGACCAAGCAUAUAAAGAAAGCGACUAAUUAUGAUUUCUUAGCACAUAAAUAAUUGAACAUUUGUCAUGAAUAUUUGCGCCGUUUUCGGACAACUU